Molecule: ribosomal RNA, 372 nt
Filed under: uncultured organism
Description: bacterial SSU rRNA
Rfam family: Bacterial small subunit ribosomal RNA
Source: RNAcentral
CGUAGGGGGCAAGCGUUGUCCGGAUUUAUUGGGCGUAAAGCGCGUGUAGGCGGCCAGACAGGUCCGUUGUGAAAACUGGAGGCUCAACCUCCAGCUGUCGAUGGAAACCGCUUGGCUAGAGUCCGGAAGAGGAGAGUGGAAUUCCUGGUGUAGCGGUGAAAUGCGCAGAUAUCAGGAAGAACACCGAUGGCGAAGGCAGCUCUCUGGGACGGUACUGACGCUGAGACGCGAAAGCGUGGGGAGCGAACAGGAUUAGAUACCCUGGUAGUCCACGCCGUAAACGAUGGGUGCUGGGUGUGGGAGGUGUCGACUCCUCCCGUGCCGCAGCUAACGCAUUAAGCACCCCGCCUGGGGAGUACGGCCGCAAGGCUA